UCUUUAUCCAGAGUGGCAGAGGGACAGGCCCGAUGAAGCCACAGCAACCGAUCCGCCAGCGCGGAUGACAGGUGCUAAUUCCUGCUCCGGGAAACCGGGGGAAGAUGGGGA
This 111-nucleotide non-coding RNA is filed under the name Desulfuromonadales bacterium. Its description in RNAcentral is "SAM-I sequence". It matches the Rfam family "SAM riboswitch aptamer (S box leader)". From Rfam's summary of the family: The SAM riboswitch is found upstream of a number of genes which code for proteins involved in methionine or cysteine biosynthesis in Gram-positive bacteria. The SAM riboswitch acts at the level of transcription termination control. The record is from RNAcentral. Lineage: Bacteria; Pseudomonadati; Thermodesulfobacteriota; Desulfuromonadia; Desulfuromonadales.